UACGUAGGGGGUAAGCGUUGUCCGAAUUUACUGGGCGUAAAGAGCAUUAAGGCGGUCUUUUAAGUGAGAGGUGAAAGGUUCAGGGCUUAACCCGAACACUGCCUUUCAUACUGGGAGACUUGAGUGCGGGAGAGGCGAGUGGAAUUCCUGGUGUAGCGGUGAAAUGCGUAGAUAUCAGGAGGAACACCCAUGGCGAAGGCAGCUCGCUGGCCUGCAACUGACGCUGUAGUGCGAAAGCGUGGGUAGCAAACAGG
This 254-nucleotide ribosomal RNA is filed under the name uncultured bacterium. Its description in RNAcentral is "partial 16S ribosomal RNA". It matches the Rfam family "Bacterial small subunit ribosomal RNA", at positions 524 to 776 of the family's 1533-position model. The record is from RNAcentral.